GACGAACGCUGGCGGCGUGCUUAACACAUGCAAGUCGAACGGAAAGGCCCUGCUUUUGUGGGGUGCUCGAGUGGCGAACGGGUGAGUAACACGUGAGUAACCUGCCCUUGACUUUGGGAUAACUUCAGGAAACUGGGGCUAAUACCGGAUAGGAGCUCCUGCUGCAUGGUGGGGGUUGGAAAGUUUCGGCGGUUGGGGAUGGACUCGCGGCUUAUCAGCUUGUUGGUGGGGUAGUGGCUUACCAAGGCUUUGACGGGUAGCCGGCCUGAGAGGGUGACCGGCCACAUUGGGACUGAGAGACGGCCCAGACUCCUACGGUAGGCAGAAGUGGGGAAUAUUGCACAAUGGGCGGAAGCCUGAUGCAGCAACGCCGCGUGCGGGAUGACGGCCUUCGGGUUGUAAACCGCUUUCGCCUGUGACGAAGCGUGAGUGACGGUAAUGGGUAAAGAAGCACCGGCUAACUACGUG
RNAcentral lists this ribosomal RNA (468 nucleotides) under uncultured bacterium. RNAcentral's name for it is "partial 16S ribosomal RNA". It matches the Rfam family "Bacterial small subunit ribosomal RNA", at positions 28 to 507 of the family's 1533-position model. The record is from RNAcentral.